GGGGCUAUAGCUCAGCUGGGAGAGCGUUGCAUGGCAUGCAAGAGGUCGACGGUUCGAUCCCGUCUAGCUCCACCA
This 75-nucleotide transfer RNA is filed under the name Pseudoalteromonas piscicida. RNAcentral's name for it is "tRNA-Ala". It matches the Rfam family "tRNA". Rfam says of the family: Transfer RNA (tRNA) molecules are approximately 80 nucleotides in length. Their secondary structure includes four short double-helical elements and three loops (D, anti-codon, and T loops). RNAcentral also lists the same sequence under 1 other name. Lineage: Bacteria; Pseudomonadati; Pseudomonadota; Gammaproteobacteria; Alteromonadales; Pseudoalteromonadaceae. The record is from RNAcentral.